CCAACUGGAUCCCAGCUCUGAUUCCAAGACUCUCCCUGGAAUCCUUUAAUAGGAAGCCAAAUCUUUACAAAAGACACUUCCUCCUUUCUGUGCUCACAUGGCAUUCCACAGACAAAGGAAGCAGAUAUAUUCUUGGUAAUUCUUGGUGGAGUGAGAAGCAAAUGGAAAUCUGUUUUCUUCUACACAAAGAGGAAGAAGCAGCAGUAGAGCCAGAAGCAGGAAGCAGAUAAAAAAUUUAAUCUCAUCAUGGACACAAAAACAUACUAAAACAAACC
Molecule: long non-coding RNA, 275 nt
Filed under: Homo sapiens (human)
Lineage: Eukaryota; Metazoa; Chordata; Mammalia; Primates; Hominidae
Description: HSALNT0102658
Source: RNAcentral